Molecule: long non-coding RNA, 3062 nt
Organism: Leucoraja erinaceus (little skate)
Lineage: Eukaryota; Metazoa; Chordata; Chondrichthyes; Rajiformes; Rajidae
Exons: 2
Source: RefSeq, a predicted model, not a curated record
CAAUAGACAAUAGACAAUAGGUGCAGGAGUGGGCCAUUCGGUCCUUUGAGCCAGCACCGCCAUUCAAUGUGAUCAUGGCUGAUCAUCCCCAAUCGCAACACCGUUCCUGCUUUCUCCCCAUAUCCCCUGACUCCGCUAUCUUUAAGUUUUAUACAUGUCUUGCACGCUAUGCUCAACCGAGGUAAUAUCACAAUGUUUGAAAAACAUUUGGACAGGUACAUGGAUAGGAUAUGUUUAGAGGGAUAUGGGCCAAAUGCAGGCAGGUGGGUGUAGUGCAGACACAGCAUGUAGGUUGGCAUAGGCAAGUUGGGCCAAUGGGCUUGUUUCCACAACGCAUGACGCUAUGCCUCCCUAUCCACUGUUGAUAUCUGAUUUGUUGACUGUAAUUUACUGACAAGGCUGUGCAGAUUUGUCCAAGACAGUCAAGCUUUUGAAAAUCCAUUGUACCGUGCCUUUCUGUAACUUUAGGAUUGGUGCACUAUUGAUCGUAAAUAUCACGGAGCGGCACGGCGGCACAGCGGUAGCGUUGCUGUCUUACAGCGCUUGCAGUGCCAGAGACGGGGGUUCGAUCCUGAUUACGGGAGCUGUCUGUACGGAGUUUGUACGUUCUCCCCGUGACCACGUGGGUUUUCUCCAAGAUCUUAGGUUUCCUCCAACACUCCAAAGACGUACAGGUUUUAGGUUAUUGGGCUUGGUAUAAGUGUAAAUUGUCUCUAGUAUGUGUAGGAUAGUGUUAAUGUACGGGAAUCGCUGAUCGGAGGGGACCUGGUGGGCCGAAGGGCAUGUUUCUGCGCUGUAUCUCUAAACUAAACUAAAACAAAAUCAACUCUAAAAGGUACUUUGCAGAUAGCUGAUAUAGGUCUUGGAUAUCCUUGAAGUCUGUCACCAAAUGUUAUGCAGUUCUCUAUUUAGAACUUGAUCAUCUGAAGAAGGGUCCUGACCCAAAACGUCACCCAUUCCUCUCUCCAGAGAUGCUGCCUGUCCCGCUGAGUUACUCCAGCACUUUGUGUCUGCUUUAGUACUUGAUCCUGUGUUCAUUUCGAGGCUUUCCUCAGUUCUGCUGAUAAGAGGUCGACUUUCACCUUAAGAGACAAAUAAUAAAACCACCAGGUAUCAAGUACCUGAAAUGACACAAGGUACAGUUAAGUUGCUCAGUUAAGGACCUGAAGCCUCUGGUGCAUCAAUGAAGGUGAUGCGAAAUGGUGUGGAGUCUGGGGUGCUGGGAAACUGGCUCUCAUUGACCCAUAUAUCAAACUUCAGUUGUGUCCAAACUGUGAGAUCCCGGGUGUGAGCAGACACAAUCUUACACAUUUCCCUGGGCAGAAAUGUAACACCAGAGCCACCUUUCCAAAGGAUUUGCACAGGCGAUGAGCUGGAGGGCUGUGACUGGCCUCGGAGCCCAGCAUUCAAUGGCAUUGCGAACAUUAGAACCGGAGAGAGUGGGAAGAUGUGGCGGCUCGGUGGCGCAGUGGUAGAGUUGCUGCCUUACAGCACCAGAGCCCCGUGUCCCGGGUUCAAUCCUGACCACGGGUGCUGUGUGCACGGAGUUUGUACGUUCUCCCAGUGCCCUGCGUGAAUUUUCCCCGAGAUCUUCGGUUUCCCCCCACACUCCAAAGACGUACAGGUUUGUAGGUUAAUCGGCUUGGUAUAAGAGUAAAUUGUCCCUAGUGUGUGUAGGCUGGUGUUAAUGUGCGGGGAUCAUUGGCUGGUGUAGACUCCGAAGGGCCUGUUUCUCUAAACUAAACUAAACUAAAUGAAGGAUUGGAAUCUUGGCGAAGCAGGGAACGAGGUAUACAGCCAAGCAGGGCCCAGUGGGAUUGUCUGAUUAAGUUGUGGAGAGCCCAGAACUGUUCCUCAGUGUGUUCACUCGGGAAAAAACAAUACCCAUUUUCAAUUGCAUGACAAUGGAAAAAAAUAUAACCUAUUUGAAUUUCUAGGCAACAUUGCCCAGAAUGCAGAUAGAGCCUUGGAAACCGAUCAGAAAUUAAGACACACAGGUCAGUUUAUUCUGUAUGCUGUGCCACAUUAGUGCUGCCUUCUAAACAACUUACACACUUGAUUCUAUUAUUGUCACCAUGUGGAUCGGAGUCUCUCGUCUCUGCUUGUGGUGGCAGGAUGUAGAUUAUUGCGUGUGACACGGACCUGAGGUCACCAGUGCCCCUGCCGCCUACCCCUGUUGUUUAUGCUAUCGGAUGUAUUUUUAUGCCAUUCCUUUUUAAACCACCUUGUCCGAGUGACUACAGUUUAAUUGAUCUGAAAUCAAAAAAUGCGUUCAGGCUAUCUUGUUUUAAAAUUGGCAACAACAUUGUUUUUCUAAGAGGGUGUUUUGAUGUCAUUCAAAUGAUCAAAUGGUUAAUGGAAAGUGUUAAUAUUUAAAAAAAAAACGAUGAAGAUCAUUUUUAUUGAUAAAAUGCAUAUGGUCAAUCGCACUGGAUGGUCUUGUAAACACAGUCAACUCACCAUUGUCGGUGUUUUGUCAGUUAACUGAACACAUUUUGGUUACUUGUUGGUCACAUUUAACGUGUUCAGAUGGUGCACUCUGCAGUAUAAGUAACGACACUGCACACUACACAGAAAUGCCCACAUUAAUUAUACGUUUGGCAAGCUGGGUGUGUUGUUACUUGUACAUUGCCAUUGUACAUAAUUUCUCCGGUCAGUUUUUUUUGGUAGUUAGAGUAAUGUUUUAGACUGCUAGUCCUACUCGUUGCAACAAAACGGUGAUCUCUGUAUAUUUAUUUGUUUGACGCUACUUAUAAUGAUUAACAAAAAAUCUGCAGUUUGAUUGCACAGUGUAAUUGAUCAUUAAUUGUUUGUGUCUGUCUAAUUUCAUUGCACAGAGAAUAUGUGCACAUCAAUAAAUAAAUGACUGGAUGUGGUACUUAUUUUGUUCAAUGGGAUCUUUUCAAUCUCUAUAUUUUGAUUAAUGCAUUGAGCACAAUUAAUUUUUUUCCAAGCUGUGGAGCUAAGCAACCUACUGUGUAUUCGAACGCAUUCAAAAAGUUAUACCUUUCUGUGAAACUGAAUGCACUUGCAGUUUUGUUUAAUAAACACAUGGAUCCAAA